AGGCCACCACCAGAUAUGGAGCCUGCGGCUUAUUUUGACUCAACACGGGAAAACUUACCCGGCCCGGACACUAGUAGGAUUGACAGAUUGACACCUCUUUCUUGAUUCAGUGGGGGGGGGUGCAUGGCCGUUCUUAGUUGGCGGAGCGACUUGUCUGGUCAAUUCCGAUCCCGAACGAGACUCUGGCCUACUAAAUAGACUUUAUAUUUCUUUGUGGGACUACUUCAGCUUCCUAGAGGGAGGGCCGCCGUUCAGCCGCAAGAGAUUGAGCACUAACAGGCCUGUGAUGCCCUUAGACGUUCUGGGCUGCAACAGCGCUACACUGAUGGAAUCACUGUGCGUCCCCUGCACGAAAGGACUGGCAAACACGCUGAACCUCCUUCGUGUUGGAGAUUGUACUUGCUACAUUCCCAAUGAACCAUCAAUUUGCGGACGCCGAGCUAUUUUUUGCUUCCAGUACGUCCCUGCCUUGCACACACCCCACGAUUUACGAUUGAUCGAGUCUUUAUCGAGGCCUUC
This 519-nucleotide ribosomal RNA is filed under the name uncultured eukaryote. Its description in RNAcentral is "bacterial SSU rRNA". It matches the Rfam family "Eukaryotic small subunit ribosomal RNA", at positions 1161 to 1711 of the family's 1831-position model. The record is from RNAcentral.